RNAcentral lists this ribosomal RNA (821 nucleotides) under uncultured Bacteroidota bacterium. RNAcentral describes it as "bacterial SSU rRNA". It matches the Rfam family "Bacterial small subunit ribosomal RNA", at positions 74 to 896 of the family's 1533-position model. The record is from RNAcentral. Lineage: Bacteria; Pseudomonadati; Bacteroidota.
CCGUAGCAAUACGGUACUGGCGCACGGCGCACGGGUGCGUAACACGUGGGUAAUCUGCCCUCUGAUGGGGAAUAACCCGCCGAAAGGCGGGCUAAUUCCGCAUAACAUUCCUUGGACUCCGGUUCGAGGAUUCAAAGGCGUAAGUCGUCGGAGGUGGAGCCCGCGCACGAUUAGCUAGUUGGUGAGGUAAUGGCUCACCAAGGCUAUGAUCGUUAGCUGGUCUGAGAGGAUGGCCAGCCACACUGGAACUGAGACACGGUCCAGACUCCUACGGGAGGCAGCAGUGGGGAAUCUUGCACAAUGGGCGAAAGCCUGAUGCAGCGACGCCGCGUGGGGGAUGAAGCUUUUCGGAGUGUAAACCCCUUUCGACCGGGACGAAUACCUCGCAAGAGGGGUGACGGUACCGGUAUAAGAAGCCCCGGCUAACUACGUGCCAGCAGCCGCGGUAAGACGUGGGGGGCCAGCGUUGCUCGGAAUUACUGGGUGUAAAGGGUUCGUAGGCGGUGUGGCAAGUCGGGAGUGAAAUCUCUGGGCUUAACUCAGGGGCUGCUUCCGAAACUGCCGUGCUAGAGUGUGGGAGAGGCGCGUGGAAUUGCAGGUGUAGCGGUGAAAUGCGUAGAUAUCUGCAGGAACACCCGUGGCGAAAGCGGCGCGCUGGACCACUACUGACGCUGAGGAACGAAAGCUAGGGGAGCAAACAGGAUUAGAUACCCUGGUAGUCCUAGCCCUAAACGAUCAGGACUUGGGGUGCCACCCGUUCGGGUGUCGUCCCGGAGCUAACGCGUUAAGUCCUGCACCUGGGGAGUACGGUCGCAAGACUG